GGCAGGGCUGGGUGGCCGCUCUGAGCCACAGCCACGCUCGGAGUCACAGCCCUCGCCCCUGCCCCGGCACCGCGCCGCUCACUGCUCACGCCAAGGUCGCGGGUUCGAUCCCCGGAUGGGCCAUGAGUCCGAGUCGAGCUCGGUGAUCCUUGCGGGUCCCUCCCAGCCUGGAUUAUCCCGGGGUUGUGUGCCUGCAGAGCUGUGUGUGCUGGCGAGGCCCGGUGCAGGAUGCUGUGCUCAGGGCAGCGGUGUCCCCCAGCAGGGACACAGCCAUGCCGGGCUGCAGUGACACAAACUCCUCUGGGCACCGGGAGCCGACACGGAUUUCUGUGUCAUUCCCCCGUCAGCGUCCCACUGCACGUGCAUUUGUUCAUCGGUAUUAAGAUAUCGAUGCUGAGUAAACCCUGACGCUGAUCACACAGAAAUUCACCCAGAACUGCGGGGUUCGGACUCGUGGGGAGGGUGAGAAGGGGGACAGGACAUUUCCUCACAUCUCUCCCAGUCCCUCCUGCCUGACAGGGAAGGGGUUUGGUGACCCAGGAAUUGCAUCACUGGUACGUGCAGAUUUAUUUUUUUUCUGUUUUCCCCCUGAAAUGUGCUUGUUUUAUUGUUUUCCUCCGAUGGAAUUUGCCAGCGUGUCCCAAAUUAUGUGGUUCUGAGAUGCAAAAGCAACAUACCUGUGUGGGGGAGAGAAUGAGUGGUUUGCACUGAGCAAGCUGGCUCUUCCUUCCCUCCUCCCUUCUCCCCACAUCCCCAUGUGCUAUGGAGCCAGCUGCUCCCGGAAUAGUUUGGGAAUGAAAUGUCACCAUUUGAAACUGGUGAGUCACACUUUUGGGAGGAGGGGAGGAGAGAAUCUGAAAUCUUGCCGUGUGGCAGAGCGUCUCCUGGAGGAUCUCAAAAUCUUCUGCAAACUUGAAUUUUCUUCCCCAACAUGCCCGGUGCAGCUGGAUGCUGGUGCCUCCUCCAGCAGCCCUGGGUUUGAUUUUGCACUGCGGGGCUCCACAGAGUCCAACCAGCAACGCUGCAGGAGCUGAAAGUUGCAGCAGCAAUGCAGGAGUGAGCCAAGGAGCCAGGUCAGAAAAGGGAACCCCUCUGGGUACCUGCUGCACCCUCAGGUGUGCACUUGGAGCUACUCCAAACCAGUAACUCCUAAGAGAUGGGAAUGUCAGUGGAUCAUCAGUUCUGAGGCACAAUGACAGCAUUUUAGUGCUUGGUGUUGUCUCACCUCUGUUUGUUCUAGCAAAGGUGUCUGCCUGCUAGGUUUGGCUCCCAGAUUCCUGAUGGGGAUUCCCUUUAGCCUGCAGCUUCCUGCAGAUAACUCCCAUGACAGUGCUGGGAAUGAUCAGUGUAAAUACUCCCUAUGGAAAAGUAGCUGGUUUCUCAGAGUGAGGUUAUUGUCCUUUCAAAUAGAGUAACAAAAGACAAAUUUACUGAGUAUACAGCUCACUGAAGUACUGCGUCUCUCGGAGAUAUGUGAUGAUUUCUUUAAAACUUGAUGGAUUUUUGCCCAAAUCACAGGAUUUUGUCUCAUCAGCUACAGUGGGGUUUCCCAGAGGGCCUGAGACAACACAUCCUCAGCCUCUUGGACCUUGGCUGAACUGAUACAUAAUGUGUGGAAGUCUUCCCAACAGGAACAAGCAACUCUGGAAGGCCAAGAUUACCACUGAUCUGGUUUUGGGGGGAAAAAAAAGAAAAAGACAACUGAAAUGACGUUGGACAUUCAUUAGCAAAGCAUUGUCAGAACACAAUAGAAGAACAGACAAAAGCCAGUCCUGAUUCUGUGGUAUUUCCUAAAGGGCUCCCUCUGGCACACGACUAUUCCCUGCCAAUCCUUCUGUAUUGUUUUUGAUAAUGAAUAGAAGCUGAACAGAUGAUUGUUGUAUUGUCCACUAAGUGAUUCAUUUACAUUAAAUAGUGCUCCAAAAGUAGGCUUUGGGUAGACUUUUUUAGUCACUUCAGUUAUUUAUUUAUACAGUUUAAUUACUGUCUU
Passer domesticus (house sparrow) is the source of this 1990-nucleotide long non-coding RNA. RefSeq lists it as uncharacterized. The transcript has 3 exons. Lineage: Eukaryota; Metazoa; Chordata; Aves; Passeriformes; Passeridae. The record is from RefSeq and is a predicted model, not a curated record.